AUACGGAAGGCAGCAGUCGAGAAUUUUUCUCAAUGGGCGAAAGCCUGAAGGAGCGACGCCGCGUGGGGGAUGAAUGGCUUCGGCCCGUAAACCCCUGUCAUUUGCGAACAAAUUGUUUGACCUAAUACGUUAAGCAUUGAUUGUAGCGGAAGAGGAAGGGACGGCUAACUCUGUGCCAGCAGCCGCGGUAAUACAGAGGUCCCAAGCGUUGUUCGGAUUCACUGGGCGUAAAGGGUGCGUAGGCGGUUGUUUAAGUCUGACGUGAAAUCUCCGGGCCUAACCCGGAAACUGCGUUGGAUACUAUUCAACUAGAGGAAUGGAGGGGAGACUGGAAUACUUGGUGUAGCAGUGAAAUGCGUAGAUAUCAAGUGGAACACCAGUGGCGAAGGCGAGUCUCUGGACAUUUCCUGACGCUGAGGCACGAAAGCCAGGGGAGCAAACGGGAUUAGAUACCCCGGUAGC
This 462-nucleotide ribosomal RNA is filed under the name uncultured bacterium. RNAcentral's name for it is "bacterial SSU rRNA". It matches the Rfam family "Bacterial small subunit ribosomal RNA", at positions 339 to 794 of the family's 1533-position model. The record is from RNAcentral.